This 254-nucleotide ribosomal RNA is filed under the name uncultured bacterium. RNAcentral's name for it is "partial small subunit ribosomal RNA". It matches the Rfam family "Bacterial small subunit ribosomal RNA", at positions 26 to 285 of the family's 1533-position model. The record is from RNAcentral.
AGGACGAACGCUGGCGGCGUGCUUAACACAUGCAAGUCGAGCGGAAAGGCCCUUCGGGGUACUCGAGCGGCGAACGGGUGAGUAACACGUGAGUAACCUGCCCCUAGCUCUGGGAUAGCUCCGGGAAACCGGGAUUAAUACCAGAUACGACCACUUUAGACAUCUUUUGUGGUGGAAAGGAUUCCGGCUAGGGAUGGGCUCGCGGCCUAUCAGCUUGUUGGUGGGGUAACGGCCUACCAAGGCGACGACGGGUA